This 125-nucleotide small RNA is filed under the name Mixta tenebrionis. RNAcentral describes it as "Mixta sp. BIT-26 RtT sRNA". It matches the Rfam family "RtT RNA". Rfam says of the family: This family represents a bacterial cis-regulatory element known as RtT RNA. The exact function of RtT is unknown although it is thought that it may be involved in changing the cellular response in relation to amino acid starvation. Lineage: Bacteria; Pseudomonadati; Pseudomonadota; Gammaproteobacteria; Enterobacterales; Erwiniaceae. The record is from RNAcentral.
GUUUUCACUGUUGGGAGAAGGUGAGAACCUUCGACAAGGUUCGAGUCGAGCAGCGCGAGACAACGUGCGCAGCACGGCCCGCAGGGUGAGGAGCGAAGCGACGAAUAAUCCUUCUCCCACCACCA